AAAGAAGGUAGAACUAGGACCCACAGAAUAAAUCUACAACCUAUUAGGCUAUAAUGUUAGGGUCUUUACUCGAAAAUCUAAUUAUUGGGAAGAGGGGAAAACCACAGCAAGGAAAAUAUCAUGAAAAAUUUGGAGAAUAAAAAAUGCAUUCCAAAACUGUAUUUAAGUACUAACUUAAGAUUUUUUGAAAAAAGCCUUCAGAAGAGUUAAGCCUUCUGAAGAGUUACACAAGUACUUACAAUUACCCAUUACUUGCCCACUGAGUUGGCUUGUUCAAAUUUUAGACUUCUCCUCUCCUUAGACGCCCCUGAAAUUUAAUUCACCCCCAAACCGCAGUAAGUUCUAAAAUACAGAACAUCACCCACUGAAUGGUUCCUUGUGAGAACUGGCCCACCACAGAGGGGAAAGUGCUUGACUGUGUGAGUUGCUUUGGCCAAUGGAUAGUAGAAGAGUAGAUUGGAUUGUGCCCCCCACAAAGCUGUGUUUAAGUCUUAACCCUGGUGUCUGUGAAUGUGACCUUAUUUGAGAAGAGUGUCUUUUCAGAUAUGGUCAAGUUAAGAUAAGUUUCUAUGGAAUUUGUGAACCCUGAGUCAUGACUGGCAUCUUAUAAAGACUUGGAGACGCGCAGACACACACAGGGAAGAAGACACACAGAGGGAAGAAGGCCAUACACGUCAGAGACUGGACUGAGGCUAUUACAAGCCAAGGAUUGCUAGCAGCCACCAAAAGCUAGGAACUGGCAGGCCACCAGUUAAAGGAUGAGGAUGGAACAGCACUGGACACAACCUGUAUACUGAAGCCAAGCACAGCUGAACUCAGCCUAAAUCUGCAGACCUCCAGAGGCAUGAGUAGGAAUUAGCAUUUUCAACUACCAAGUUUCGUGCUGUAUUGUGUGACAGUAGGUGACAGAAGCUGAAAUCAGAGCAGUACUCACAGCUAAACUUCCUUGGAUGUAUUUGGCUAACAAUCAAGAUAGAGCAUCAGUAGCAUUUCUUUCAGUAAAAUCUAUACUGAAUAGUAACUAGUUACAAAUUUAUGUCUACUUAUCUGAUAACAAGAUGUGCUACAAUAAGUGGUGUGCUAAAAGCAAAUGUAACAUAUUUGUAAAUUAUUGGAGAGAGGGGAUAGAGGUGGCAGAUGGAUCCACUCUUUGGAGAGCAGCACUCACCCCGCCCUACCGGAAGUUGUCAUGCAAAGGAACUGUCUCUGACCACUCCUGGAGUUCAGCACCCCUGACGCGGACAGCGACACCACCCAAUUUAGUCCCAUGACUCGCUGCAGAGAUUUUCACCUGACAAAGGAACUGGCCAAUCCCGACUGGCACCAAGGACUGCGUGACUGCCUAAUUUACAAUGCGAGAUAUUGGGGAGGGGGGAGAACUCCUUGAUUUGGGACAUUUCAACUGGCAGGGGUACCAAAUGAUUUGAAAUAAUAUAUCCUAACACAAAAUCCUGAUUUUUCUCCUCUCAAUACCCACUGGAUUCUAAGUACAUGCCUGUAAAUGCUAUCUUGCUGCGUGACAGUUGAUUAACCAACCUCACUGUGUUGGUUUAUUCCAACAAAAUGCGUAAGACAGCGGAGGCGGUGCAAAAGGUCCGUGUGAGUUAUGGCGGCCAAUCCCUCUUAUUGCGCGAAGCUGCCUGUCAGCAUGGGGAUGGGACUGCUUUUUCUGCAGUUUUCCAAUUAGUGUCGAAAACCCAAACAGCCACUGUUUUUGUUCCCAUGAAACUAUUAUUUUAGAGAGGUUAGAACGAAGCACGCGUGUGCUCUAGAUGUGACGGUUUAGCUGUCAUCUUUCCAGUUACCUAGCAACAAAUUAGACAAAAAGAACACAUUUGUUUUAACUCACAGCUUAGAACAGCAGAAGCCCAAGGGCAAAUGAACAUGGGCUCAGGACAGUGUAACCUAUUAACUAGGUCUCAUGUUUACAACCAGUCUAAUUAAAUCUCAUUGCAGGGGCAGCAGAUAGAGCUAACAGGAACAAGCUAUUUAAGACGGACAAAUAAGCUGAAUUAAGCCGAGUUUUGGCUGUAAUUUAUGCAUGCUGUACAGACUUUCUUUUUCCCCACUGCUCUGGCGGCGGUAAUUCAGACCUUUAACCAGCAGAGGGCGAGUCGACUGCAUUUUUGGCCCCUAAGACACGCCCUUCCUUCGCCCCCACCCCCUCAACCCUGCCUCGGCUAAAUUAAUUUAUUAGGCUCUUCAAAUAUAGACCAACUGAGGAAGGUGUGGAAGAAGGAGAGCAGCGGCGCAAAACUCUGCAGAGUGCCUGCUCUGUCAGCCUUGGAUGUGGCUGCUCUCGUGUCUCCUUGCUUGGAGCCGUAGAGAGGUUUGCGGUGGUUGUCCCAGGAGGGGGCAGGGAUGAAAAGUAACCUUAUCCCUAGAAGCUGUGGCUCUUUGGGAUCACUAGCUUCAGAGGCUUGGGGAGAGUCAGAGGUAGCCUAGUUACAUGACAAAUAUAACCUAGGAAGGUUUGAAAUAGAAAAGAACCAGUUCCUUCUUAGGGCCAAUAAUAGUUUAGUAUGCUGGAACAGCAACAAAAAAAAGGCUCUGUUCUGACUUUAAUACGCUAGGAACAAAAAACGGGAUGAGGGAGGAAAAGGAUAAAAUUAAAGAAGAAAGAGUCUGGCUGAGUCAUCCUAGAACAAGCAAAGCAAGCCACUCAGCCGCUCAGGGAGAGAGACAAUGAGAGAAGGCCUGCCAGCACAGCAGGGCUGAGCAAUAAAGCAUGCUGUACAUAGUUAAUUUAUGGUUGGGUGGAGCCCUCCGUAUUCUGGACAGGCACACCACUUGCCCCAGAGAGGAGGUUCUACCUUGUAAGGCUUUGCAGAAUCUCCUUAGGCAGGCAGCAGCCAGAAAUCCCAUUAAUUGGACAUGCCCUUUCUCCUCCACAUAGUUAUGUCUCAGAAUUCAUAUAACUCAGUUUCAGACUAGUAAAAUUAAUUUUUUCUGGAGGCCAUUAAACUCAAUCUUCUGCAGCAUUGCAUUUUCUCUCCAAUCAUUAAAUUUCUGUAAAGCUUGUGUUUCAAGGACACCAUAUCAUUAAUAAAUUCAGUUCAUGAGCAAGUA
Molecule: non-coding RNA, 3069 nt
Organism: Sus scrofa (pig)
Lineage: Eukaryota; Metazoa; Chordata; Mammalia; Artiodactyla; Suidae
Source: RefSeq, a predicted model, not a curated record